GGGGAUUUAGCUCAUUGGUAGAGCGCUUGCCUAGCAAGCACAAGGCCCUGGGUUCGGUCCCCAGCUCCG
This is a non-coding RNA of Rattus norvegicus (Norway rat), 69 nucleotides long. The record is from Rfam. Lineage: Eukaryota; Metazoa; Chordata; Mammalia; Rodentia; Muridae.